Molecule: non-coding RNA, 2231 nt
Organism: Anas platyrhynchos (mallard)
Lineage: Eukaryota; Metazoa; Chordata; Aves; Anseriformes; Anatidae
Source: RefSeq, a predicted model, not a curated record
UGACUGGUUUUCAACAGCCCAGUAGGUAAAAGCACAAGGCAAAGCUACUGACUCGGUCACACCUUCCCUCCAAGAAUACAGUCACACCUAGAGGAUGCAGUAUGGGGCUUAAGUAGCAGAUGCCACAAAGCGGACCAAGCUUUCUCCUAUGAGAAACGUAGCUCACGUGGCUGUGAUGGGAACCGAGGGUGCACAGCAGGGUACGGAGGGGAAGAGAAGGCACGAAGGAGAGUUGCCUAGCAGUAACAGCAUUUGGCAGAGGCACAGGCUACUCUGCGCUGAGCAAUGAAGGAAGACUCGGGCUUGUGGAGCUAAGAGAGACUAGAUGUAGUAACUAUGUAACCAUGGGGGAAAAGUCAAGUAUUUUCUUCAGAAAAUCUCCUGCUACCAGAAGAACAUGGACUUAUAAAAAUGUUGACUACUGUUGCUGCAUUGUUAUUUUUGUUUGUUACAACUGCAGACCCUCACACCUUGCAAAUGUUCUCAGACUUGCUCAUUCAGCCUGAAGAGAGUCAAGAGGACAUGCUCACACACUGCCUUGUUAUAGGUGCCCCUUUCCAUUGCACCUGUCUGUAAGCGAUUGAUCCUACUUUUCAUGAAAAUUUUAGUUAUAAAUCAGUGGUGCUUAAUUUGUAAGGGAAAUCUGGAUCACAUGGAUAUUUUUCCAAUAACAAAUUAUACAGUUUUUAGCUUGUGUGUUCAAGAGCCCUCAAGACAAAGAAUGUGCCUCCUUUCAUAUACUUUUCUGAAUUUUGCAUAAUUACUUACUAUUUAUGAACAAGGCAUUGCUCAGGUAGUGUUACUUACACUAACAGUCUUUGGAAAUCACCAUAUUUUUUUCCAAAUUUAAAUUUGGGAUCCUGAUAAUGUUUUCAAAGUACAUUUAAAAGAUCAGGGAUAAGUUAUGUUGUGGUAUUUUUUCAGAACCAGACAUGGAUGCUUUGUCAAAGCAAACUAUUUAUCUUAAACACAGCUAAAUACUUAGUUUAUUUAUUAUUAUUAUUAUUAUUAUUAUUAUUAUUAUUAUUAUUAUUAUUAUUAUUAUGUCUGGUUAGAUUCUUCCAAAUAAAAUUCUAAUGAAUUUGUUCUGUCACGACUAUCAUCUUAGGCAAACUUCAACAACCAAUUCAUGCCUAUGCUUACAUGUAAAAAUGGUAAUUGAUUCAAGUAGGGAUUCUUUACACACCAGAGUUCAAGUUUGCCUGCUGGUUCAAGGAUUUGCAUUCAUGUCAGUAAAUGUUUGUGCAGGAAGGAGUUCUUGGCAGGAAUCAUAGCGUCAGAAUCUAGUCUUUCUGCAAAAUACGGGAUAGCAAAUUUUUUGCUGUUACUGAGCAGUAAGGGCUCAUUUACAAAGGGUGUUUUCCUCUUCCUGCAGGGUAACCUGACAUGGCAUAGACUUUUAUAAAACUAUGAGAAUCUUGAAGCUAUGUUAUUUGUAUUAAUUUGCCACAAGCUAUAUUAGAAAGAUUAUCCAGAAAAUUAUUUAAAAAGCAAAGAAGAAGGGUCAUUUUCCAAGUCUUUCACAUGUCAGAUUUUGACAUUUAAUUGCCAGCUUUAAUAUCAGUCCUUCAUAAGGUUGAAUAAUGUUCUUGUUGCUUUCCCACUAUGUGUCAUUGUGGUAGAGGGGACAUUUCCUUGAGCAAAGGAAGUAUGCCUGGAUGCUGCAGAGGAACAAAUGAUCAGCUAGCCCCACAGAGCUUAAAAAACCCCAAAUGAUUUCCAAACAUUACACCUACACUGUCAUCCCUGUUGAAAUGCGAUCUUCUUUAGAAUAAAACAUGACAACUCUUCAAUGCAAAAAGUUGAAUGGAGAUUCUAGGAGUUAUAGCGAAGCAGCAUGUAGUUACCCAGACUAACUUACAGUUAAAGGAGCCAGCUUCCCAUUUUAUCCUAGAGAAACUCUUUUUCAUCGUGAAGAGUGCUACAACUUAGUCUUGCCUUUUGUUUUUAUUUUUAUUUUAUUUGUUUGUUGUAUUGUUAUGUUUUGAUCAAUUCCUUUUUGAACACCAUCCUUUUAGGUUCUUUUUAUGAAAAUGGGGAUGUUAAUUUAUCCUGCAUAACUUCCUGGGGGAUUAUUAAUAGAUAUUACAGAAUGGAAAGCUGCUACUAUUUAUUGCCACUAUGAUUCCUCUGGCUUCCUGUAGGAAACAUUCCUUCCGAUUAACUUCCACUCAAAUUUAUUUAUUUCCAGUGUACCACAUACAUCUAUUAUUUGCUGUCUGCAUCUUCUU